RNAcentral lists this long non-coding RNA (876 nucleotides) under Homo sapiens (human). Its description in RNAcentral is "HSALNT0067279". The record is from RNAcentral. Lineage: Eukaryota; Metazoa; Chordata; Mammalia; Primates; Hominidae.
CCUACCCCAGAUUUCCUGAUUCAGUCCUGGGGGACCCCACCCAUGAUCUUGCAAUUGAGUCCUGGGGGGACCCCACCCCAGAUCUUCCGAUUCAGUCCUGGGGGGACGCUACCCCAGAUCUUCUGAUUCAGUCCUGAGGGUCCCCACCCAUGACCUUCCGAUUCAGUCCUGGGGGGACCCUACCCCAGAUUUCCUGAUUCAGUGCUGGGGGACCCCACCCAUGAUCUUGCAAUUCAGUCCUGGGGGAACCCCACCCCAGAUCUUCCGAUUCAGUCCUGGGGGGACCCCACCCCAUACCUUCCGAUUCAGUCCUGGAGGGGACCCCAUCCCCGAUCUUCUGAUUCAGUCCUGGGGGGGACCCCACCCAUGAUAUUCUGAUUCAGUCCUGGGGGACCCCACCCCAGAUCUUCCGAUUCAGUCCUGGAGGGACCCUACCCCAGAUCUUCCUAUUCAGUCCUGGUUCGGCCUGAGAAUUUGCAUUUCUAACAUGUCCAGGGACCACAGUUUGAAAACCUCCACGGCUGACAUGUAAUGGGAUGACAUGGUCCAAUAAAUGAAGGAAAAAUAACAGGUGGCAACCUCAGGCAGCUUCAUCCCAACCAGUAAGAAAGUAAAUCCUUUUGUAAACUCAGAGGAAGUAUUAAUAUGGGCGUUUGAGCAAACAUUUAAGUGUUAGGACAAAUAAUUAAAAACUAGCACAGGCACCCCUGAAGCAUGAUAGGAUGGCAACAGAAGGGCUGAUUUAGUUUCCAAGAAAUAACUGACAGGCAAUGUUGUGCGUGUGUCUACUACUUAGGAACCCAAAACAAACCUUCAGACCGUUUUCAUGAGUACUGAGACCAAGAAAACCACUGGGCAGUGGGUGGUCUGGAAAUG